Molecule: long non-coding RNA, 2064 nt
Filed under: Orbicella faveolata
Lineage: Eukaryota; Metazoa; Cnidaria; Anthozoa; Scleractinia; Merulinidae
Description: uncharacterized LOC110061921
Source: RNAcentral
CGUCCCGACUAGUAGCCCGUGGGUCUCUGAGGAUGGAAGAAACCUGAAUUCUUGAAUAAAGGUUAAGGCCAUACAUGCCAUUAAGUUUCCGUAGCAAGCAACCUUCCAAACGUGACUGCAAAUUUUAGAAAACGAGUAAUCCCUCUUUCGCUUAGUCCGUCGAGCAAGAACGUAUAUAAAACGCGAGGAAAAAUUGGCCGCGCGAACUCCUGGGAGCGAGAAGAGCCCAAAAUUCGCCUUCUACAAAAGCCUUGGUUUCUUUCAAGUCUGGAUCUUCCAACCAAACAUAAGGAUCAGAAAUCCUCGUGCGACCAUAGUCAGUUAUAGCGCUUUCAUCUCGACGAACAUUCGGAUAAGAGAAACGUUCAGACGCUAUUUUGAGUGUUCUACGUCGAGGACUGGGCCGACCGCGAAAGAUUGGUACGACUGAAUGACAUCAUCACUGUGCUGAAAAUCACGCACUGUGUACAAAAAACAUUGCAAUCAUGUGCAACCCACGCUUAAUUUUCACAGAUUUUAUGGUAUAUAAAGUGCCUUGCGCCUAGUGCAGAAACAAAACCAGCGAUUGACAAGGAAAGGCUAUAGUUUAGGAAUCCUGCGAUUCAGACUGAAAUGAACAAUUGCUCCUUACCUUUGAAAUUAGGAAAUUUACUUUACCAUCUUGUAGCCCCAGAGGAAUCAGCAGACCGUUAAAGGCAUUAACUGCUUCAAUCAAGCUACAUUCACUUUGAAAACGAGUUCAGGGUGCAGUCGGAACUUCUCAGUGAUGUUUCCUGGCAAAGAAAUUUUGCGGAGUGCUGUGCUUGUCGCCAUCGGCGGAAUAGUUGCAUUGUUGGUUUCAAAAUUGUUAGAGGGUGACGAAGGAGCAGUGGCUCAGAGAGACAUGAGGGAGAUCAGAGGAGAAGAUGAGUUGAACGAAGAUGAGAAGCAGCCACAAGAACAUGACGAGAGGUUGUGCUGAGAAGGGAAAUACGGCACAGGAGAGACUUUACAGCCUACAUCUUAACACUUUAACCGUUAGACGUCAGAUUUACCUGAAUUAACACAAUUCCUUUGCUUAGAACACUGAAGUGGGUCAGCUGUCACGGACAGUUUUAAUUUAAAGUAUUGUCGGUAAAUGCUACUCGGUAUCUAAUUCUUUUCGUUGCGCGUAGUUUUGUAAGAUGCUUGUUUGAUGCAUAGUACCCCACUACGAGCAGUAAGCACCGCGAAACUGUGUUUGUAAAUGAUACUGCCUUGUUACAUGACCGAUCAUUGUGUUGAUCAAUGCUAUUCAUGUGCAAGAACGGUUGUGUUUUUGCUGCGGUGACGUCAUGUUCAUGGCUCAUUCCACGUUGUUCAGUAAACAGUGAAUAGUUCGAAGUGAAAUAUUUUUACACGCAGCAUUUCAUUUAAAGAUGAACACCAAGAUACCGACUCAUGAUUUAGUCACCGCUUGGGAUCUAACUGCCCCGGCCCUUGGCCGACGUUAUACACUCACUGUCCAUAAUUUUUAUAUUAUUAAAUUAUACAUUGAUCACACCCAGCUCUGUUCAUUACCGACAAGAAGAUACAGCAGUUAAAUUUGCUCAGUAAUCCGAAAAGCACACUUUUGUAAACAACAGCAAAGGAAAGACGGAAAUUUCGAUGGUAUUGAUUUGAUUCCAUUCCUCCUCGUGUGAGAAAAGUGAAUUCUAUUAUAAUGGUUCAGGCCAUACACGCCGUAAGUUUCCUUAGCAAACAGUCUAAUUUGCUUACAAAAUAAAGAGGUCUGCUUUAGUCAGCUGCUAUAUGCUUGAAUGGGUUUUGAAGAUAAGUAACAAGGUCACUGUAAAUAGUCAAAAUAACUCUGCCCUUGAAGUACGAUAUUUAUGAUUUUGUUCAAUACAAUUUAAACGUUUCAGUCAGCCCCGAAAAUUAAAUACUUGAAAAUGCUAUUUCUUGACACCUUUGCGGUCUUUACGAUAUACGACCAAUCAAUUGUGUCAGCAUUUUUGGUGUGACAGUCACGGGUAUUCCCCUGCUAAGGACAGAAAAAGAACUUGAAAGCGAUCUGAACAAUAGGAUAUCAAAAAAAAAAAAAAA